This 301-nucleotide ribosomal RNA is filed under the name uncultured bacterium. RNAcentral's name for it is "partial 16S ribosomal RNA". It matches the Rfam family "Bacterial small subunit ribosomal RNA", at positions 509 to 807 of the family's 1533-position model. The record is from RNAcentral.
CAGCAGCCGCGGGAAUACGAAGGGUGCAAGCGCUAAUCGGAAUUACUGGGCGUAAAGCGUGCGUAGGCGGUGAGGUAAGUCUGCUGUGAAAUCCCCGGGCUCAACCUGGGAAUGGCAGUGGAUACUGGCUCGCUAGAGUGUGUCAGAGGAUGGUGGAAUUCCCGGUGUAGCGGUGAAAUGCGUAGAGAUCGGGAGGAACAUCAGUGGCGAAGGCGGCCAUCUGGGACAACACUGACGCUGAGGCACGAAAGCGUGGGGAGCAAACAGGAUUAGAUACCCCAGUAGUCCCUGUCUCUUAUAC